GGAAGUAAAAGUCGUAGCAAGGUCUCCGUAGGUGAACCUGCGGAGGGAUCAUUACAGAGUUCAUGCCCUACCGGGUAGAUCUCCCACCCUAUGUUAUUAUUACUUUGUUGCUUUGGCGGGCCGUUAGGCUCCGGCCCGACUACCGGCCCCGGCUGGUAAGCGCCCGCCAGAGGACCCAAAACCCUGAAUAUUAGUGUCGUCUGAGUACUAUAUAAUAGUUAAAACUUUCAACAACGGAUCUCUUGGUUCUG
This 251-nucleotide unclassified non-coding RNA is filed under the name plant metagenome. RNAcentral's name for it is "partial contains small subunit ribosomal RNA, internal transcribed spacer 1, and 5.8S ribosomal RNA". The stretch from base 1 to 54 matches the Rfam family "Eukaryotic small subunit ribosomal RNA", at positions 1778 to 1831 of the family's 1831-position model. The record is from RNAcentral.